GAUGAACGCUGGCGGCGUGCCUAAUACAUGCAAGUCGAGCGAACGGACGAGAAGCUUGCUUCUCUGAUGUUAGCGGCGGACGGGUGAGUAACACGUGGAUAUCCUACCUAUAAGACUGGGAUAACUUCGGGAAACCGUAGCUAAUACCGGAUAAUAUUUUGAACCGCAUGGUUCAAAAGUGAAAGACGGUCUUGCUGUCACUUAUAGAUGGAUCCGCGCUGCAUUAGCUAGUUGGUAAGGUAACGGCUUACCAAGGCAACGAUGCAUAGCCGACCUGAGAGGGUGAUCGGCCACACUGGAACUGAGACACGGUCCAGACUCCUACGGGAGGCAGCAGUAGGGAAUCUUCCGCAAUGGGCGAAAGCCUGACGGAGCAACGCCGCGUGAGUGAUGAAGGUCUUCGGAUCGUAAAACUCUGUUAUUAGGGAAGAACAUAUGUGUAAGUAACUGUGCACAUCUUGACGGUACCUAAUCAGAAAGCCACUGCUAACUACGUG
Molecule: ribosomal RNA, 497 nt
Filed under: uncultured bacterium
Lineage: Bacteria
Description: partial 16S ribosomal RNA
Rfam family: Bacterial small subunit ribosomal RNA
Source: RNAcentral